This 679-nucleotide long non-coding RNA is filed under the name Marmota monax (woodchuck). The record is from RNAcentral. Lineage: Eukaryota; Metazoa; Chordata; Mammalia; Rodentia; Sciuridae.
UCUGUGUCAACUGUUUUAUUUAUUUUUUGCAGUGCCGGGGAUGAAACCCAUGGCUUUGUGCAUGCUAGGUAGGUGCUCUACCACUGAGCUACACUUCCAGCCCUUUUGUUUUAUUUAAUUUUAAGACAGAAUCUUGCUGAAUUGCUGAGGCUGGCACUGGCCUCAAACUUGUGAUCCUCCUGCUUUAGACUCUAAGGCAGCUAUGAUUUCAGGGAUGCACUGCCAUGCCCAGUUCUGUCAACUCUAUUGUAAGUGGUGAAACUCUCUUCUGCAGUCUCACUGGACAGAAUGGGCUCACAUGCCCAUUUCUUAAGCUAUCACUGGCAACUGGGGCUGGACUGCCCUUUGCCCAGUCCAGCCCACUGCUGGAGCUAAGAUUAGAGCCCAUUUCCCCUGGAAUACAUGGAACAAAAUCAGGAUUCAAUGAGGAAGGAAGAAGUGAGAAAUUGGUGCUGGGGAAGCAGCCAGAUAUAACGUCUACUCUCAAGUGCCAAGAAUGUGAAGCUUUGUGCUUGUUAAGGUAAAAAUGAGGAUCAUGGGGGAAAUUUAGUUUUAACAAACUCACAUAUUUAGUUUAAAUAUCUCCAUGUUUCAUCAAGUCUAAGAUAAUAUCAAUCACAUGGUAUAUCAUUAUUUUAUUUUAUUUUAAUUUUUUUUAAGAGAGAGAGAGAGAGAGAGG